RNAcentral lists this long non-coding RNA (1033 nucleotides) under Piliocolobus tephrosceles (Ugandan red Colobus). RNAcentral's name for it is "lncRNA (ENSPTEG00000028133.1)". The record is from RNAcentral. Lineage: Eukaryota; Metazoa; Chordata; Mammalia; Primates; Cercopithecidae.
AUGUUUGCCAUAAUUUAUAAAAUAAUUACUGUUCUGUUCUUUACAUGGACAUGGACUUAUAACAACAAAGCUUAUCUAGCAAAUACAUGGAAUGCAAGAUAUGGUAGAUUACUGGCUCAAUAUAUCUCUCUACCCGAGACAAAUGAUGAUUUGGGUAUAGCACAAUAUGAUGUCCUUAACAAAUUUUGUAAUUAUUGUGAACAAGAUGUGAUAAGUGAUGGUGAACAAAGUGUAAUUUUUAAUGAUAGCUCAUAUAAGAGUGAAUGGGAAAUUGAAAAAUAUAAAAAACAAAAAUCAAUUUAUUUAAACAAUGUUAAAAAUGAAUUAAUUACAUUAUUAACUAACCGAUAUGAAUCGCAAAUAAAAUAUAUACUACAAAAAAAUAAAAACCUACAAAAGAAAGAUUUAAUAGAAAUAUAUGAUCUUAUUAAACAUGUCGUUCCCAGUGAAGAAUAUUUAAAAAUUUUAAAUGAAACUUAUAAAUUAUUAAAACAAAAAAGUAAACACAAUAAUGAUAAUGCUGAAUUAUACCACAACACGAUAAUGCAUUUAAUGAAUACAUAUUUCUUUUUAAUUAACAAUGAAAAAAAAUUUAAAAAAAACUUAUUACAUUUAGAAACUAAUCACGGACAACCAAUAUUUAAAAAGGAUAAUAUCAAAUUCAAAAAAAAAUAUUUAAAUAUAUUUAAACUCAUAGGAAAAAUAAAUAAACAAGUUAAAACUAUGUUACUUAAACAAAUGAUACAAACAGAAAUAAAUCAGAAUGUAAAUUUUUUAUAUAAAUCAGAUUUUAAGUUAUUUACGUAUGCGCUUUUUAAUCCAUUAUUAAGUUCUGCAUUUAUUAUUGGAAUUGCAUUUUUGGGAUUUAGUUCCCUCACAUUUCCAUUAUUAAGUCUGCCUAUUUGCGCAAGUAUACACUCUAUAUAUAAAAUUAUAAAAACCAUGGAUUCCGUAGAUCAAAUUAUACAAGGGUCAGCACUAGCAAAAAAAAAAAGUUUUAUUUAAUAAUAAACACCAUAAACAAAUUAUAACA